Molecule: transfer RNA, 76 nt
Filed under: Candidatus Kaiserbacteria bacterium CG10_big_fil_rev_8_21_14_0_10_59_10
Lineage: Bacteria; Candidatus Kaiseribacteriota
Description: tRNA-Thr
Rfam family: tRNA
About the family: Transfer RNA (tRNA) molecules are approximately 80 nucleotides in length. Their secondary structure includes four short double-helical elements and three loops (D, anti-codon, and T loops).
Source: RNAcentral
GCCGAUGUAGCUCAGUUGGUAGAGCAACCCCAUGGUAAGGGGUAGGUCGCCGGUUCAAAUCCGGCCAUCGGCUCAA